This is a long non-coding RNA of Chelonoidis abingdonii (Abingdon island giant tortoise), 702 nucleotides long. RefSeq lists it as uncharacterized. The record is from RefSeq and is a predicted model, not a curated record. NCBI's taxonomy places the organism in Eukaryota, Metazoa, Chordata, Testudines, Testudinidae.
CCUGCCGGCGGCUGCUCACUGUUCGUUCCUGUGCAGAAGGCGGAAGAAGCCGCCAAGACGGCGCCGGAGCAGAGGCCUGAAAUCAGCCCCUCCCAGCUGCAGCCCCAGGGCCCCCCCCGGCCAGAAGUCACCUGCUCCUGCCAGUGCUGCCCAUGCAAGUGUCAUUACGUGACGAUAAGCAGCGCAAAACUGCCGCGUAGAUUCUCAGCUGUGCAAUACAUACAACAAUGGUAAUGACCAAGUAACCAGCAGCGCAGGAAUGACUCCUCACCUCGUAACAUGCCUUUAAGCACCAAGGACAUCCAGACAAGUGCAGCUGAAUCCAACACUAUAACGAAGCCAUCAGCAUGAAGAACACAUAGGACCUGCCGGCCACUUCCCAUUAGGGGCUGUAACCCUUAAUGUGUAAUAAACUCUCCACACCCACAGAACAUCAUGAGAGAUGGUCUCUCUUAGGCAAUCAAGAGCACUCUGUAUUUGAACAUAGUCCAUUCGCUUUGCCACAACCUUCCUGCUAAGACAGUUGCAACCAACCAAGGCCUGGUACUUUAUAUGAAAACUAUGCUAAGUUCAGACAAAGAAAGCAGCAUCCUUAAGAAUUGACAUAGAACUUUUAAACUAGUGUCACCUGUCCACACACAAAAAAUUGAUUUGAUAGACAAAAUUCUGAGGGAAGAGACAAUAAAUACAUAGCUAACGGUG